UGGAUGUUCCCCAUUUUUCAUUAGUAACACAUUUUCAAUAAACAUUCUUGUAGUCAAAUCUUGGCACAAAUUCACAAUGACUGCUUUGUAAGACAUUCAAAAAUGCUACAGACACAUAGAGAUUUAUGUCCCAACAGAAAGCUUUCUGCCUUAUGCUAAGCCUCAAGGCAAAGCCAAAUGAUCAAUCUUUGAAUGGACUAUAUAUUUCCAGUACAAAGCUAGACUACAUGUAAUCAAAAUCCCAGGUUCUGCUAGCCAUCAAGAAGGUAGUUGAAACAUGAACGUAAGCCUUGGCUUGUCAAGAUGUCAUACACUAAUCACUGGUAACCACUUUGUGAAAGCCCUUGCCUCAGUGCAGGUGAAUGUCUACUGCUCGUUAGGCUUUCAGAGACAAAAA
Molecule: long non-coding RNA, 397 nt
Filed under: Mustela putorius furo (domestic ferret)
Lineage: Eukaryota; Metazoa; Chordata; Mammalia; Carnivora; Mustelidae
Description: lncRNA (ENSMPUG00000028235.1)
Source: RNAcentral